GGAGAGGGCUGGGUCCUUAGGGUCUCACAGGGUCAAAAUGGAGGCAGAUGCUGGAUGGCGCGCUUAUCUGGACGUCCUGGAGAAGAAGAAUCAGCUUUCGACCUCCUUCAGGCUGUUGACAGAAUUCAGAUCCUGUGGCUGGUGAGGACGGAGGACCCCCUUCCUUGCUGGCUGGCAGGAUGCAGGUUCCCAGGUACUGCUACAAGGCUGAUGGAGAAAGGGACGGCAACAGGAGCGUCAGACAAAGAAGCUCAUUCUAUAGACCCAGCAGGGCCAGCACUGACCAACAGAUGGCAAGUGGUUGACACCAGGAAGGCUUUGUCAGAUAGAAUCUUACCUCCCUGGCCCCCAGAAAUCCG
Molecule: long non-coding RNA, 359 nt
Filed under: Pan troglodytes (chimpanzee)
Lineage: Eukaryota; Metazoa; Chordata; Mammalia; Primates; Hominidae
Description: long non-coding RNA NONPTRT015316
Source: RNAcentral